AAUGCAUGCUGCACGGGCGAGCAGAGCGGUAAGUAUUCCAGCUAAUAAAGGAAGAGAAAUAACAGGAUGAAAACUUCAGCAUUUCAUCACCCUGAAGCAAUUAAGGAUGAAAACAAUGAUCAGCCAUGAGGGUGGCUGACGUUACAGAAAGAGCCAGCCAGACCCAGGUGCUUCCUGAGAGAGACACCAACAUUAACGGUAAUUAUAAUUGCCAGCUGGGUACUUCAUGCCUUCAGGUAGGUAGAUACGUUACUUGCAGAAGUAAAAGAAAAUCGAGGUAAAUACUUCACUGAUGGUUUUCAGAUGGGCCUUGGCCUGUCAACUCUCCAAGAAAAGGAGGUACCAGAAAUUCAAAGCAAAUGAAAACCUUAGGAUUUGGCCCCACUGACUGUAUGCAGGAUGCCUCAAGGUAAAUGCCAGGAGGAAAGGAACAAAGGGAAAUAAGGGGAGUGAAUUAGUCAGGGUUCUCCAGAGAAACUGAGCCAGUAGGAGAUAUAGAUACAUGCAUAGGAGAUUUAUUAUGAAUUGGCUCAUGCAAUUAUGGAAACCAAGAAGUUCUAUGAUAUGCUGUGUGCAGGCUGGAGACCCAGAAGAACCAGUGGUCUAAUUCAGCCUGAAUUCAAAGGCCUGAUAACCAGGGAAAGGUCUAAAGGCCCAGGAACGAGGAGCUCUGAUGUCCACAGGCUGGAGAAAAUGGAUGUCCCAGCUCAAGCAGGGAGUGUAAAUUUGAUCUUCCUCCACUUUUUUUUUUUCUAUUCAGGCCCUCAAAUGAUUACAUGAUACCUACAAACAUGGGUGAGAGAGAUCUUCUUUACUCAAUCUACUGAUUCCAAACUAAUCUCUCCUGGAAAUACCUUCACAGACACAUCCAGGGAUCACGUUUUACCAGCUAUCCGGCACUGCAAGACCAGCCAAGCUGACAUCUGAAAUUAACCAUCACAGGGAGCAUCUGCCGCCCCACAUCCUCAGGUAUGGGGAGACGUGCUUGAUGGUCACUGACACCAUGAAUACUUGACGCUGAUGAUGUGGCAUGGCUCCUCACAUGUGUCUUCACCCCAUCCUCUUCCAAAAGGAAACUGCUGCUCUCCUGCCCAGUUUUAGAGUCUCCCAGCAGGCCCUCAGGGGAGGGCUGGAGCACAUCAAGUUAUGACGGGGAGCUUCCUCCAAGACCAGGCUGCCACAUCCUGUGCACAAAGCCUCGUGAACCGCAGUGACAGGCUCAUUUAGAAACAAAUUAGGGGUUAAGUAAAAAGUGCAGGACAGAGGCAAAACCGAGUUUCCCUUUCCCCUUCCUGUCGGUUAGCAUUAGAAGGUGCCCAUGAGCAGCGUGUGUCAAGAAUAUGAACGUGAGAUGUCAUUUUGGCUGCCUCUAAUUGAAGCCAGGAUAAAUGGAGUGGAAAGGCAGCGUCUAAUCCAAUCAAAACAUGAAAAAGGUAUUUUGACAUGUAAAUUACAAACUUCCUGUGUAUUUUGUCUCCCCAAUUACACCCUCCCCUGUCAUGUUUUUUUAAAUUAUAUCUUAAUCUCCCAGUCUCCUAAUAAUUAUGUCAUCAUUCUUGCGCCCUGAACACUGUGUAAUGGUAUUUUAUGGGAUAUGCCAUUCAUUAUUAACUAAACUCACUCUCUGUCCCCAGUGAUACCAUAUCUCAUGGUGUUCAAAUAUGCCUAGUGUCAGCUCCUGCUUUGUAAAUGCUACGGCAGCUCCACUCUCUGCUUCAUGGUUGUAUGGGAAUGAGUUUGGGAAGCACUUGUGGACAGUUAAUCCGACUCAUCGGUAUUUUUAUAUGGGGAUAACUGACACUUUUUGGUUAGUGAAAAGAGAGAUUGGUUUCAAAUAUAAAUCUCUCAUCACUGGGGCUCAUGAAAAUAGGGAUUUUAACCGCUGCUCUUAAAGAACUAGCCAAUAUGAAGAUCACACAAUUAAGAUCACAAAAAGAAGUAAAGAAAAAUGUCAGUUUGAUAUGCAGAGAGUGGCUGUACUGUAGUGGUUGGAGGAAUUACUAAAAGCAACCACACAUCACUUAACAACGGGGAUACAUUCUGGAAAAUGUGGCCUUCAGUGAUUUCACUGUUGUGCAAAUAUUAUAGAGUGCACUUACACAAAGCUAGGUGGUAGAGCCUACUACACACCUGGGAUGUAUGGUAUGACCUAUUGCUCCUAGGCUACAAACCUGUAGAGCAUGUUACUGCACUAAAUACUAUGGGCAAUUGUAACUCGUGGUAUUUGUGUAUCUAAGCAUAGCAUACAGUAUUAAAUCUUGUGGGACCACCAUUGU
This 2276-nucleotide long non-coding RNA is filed under the name Homo sapiens (human). RNAcentral's name for it is "HSALNT0225615". Lineage: Eukaryota; Metazoa; Chordata; Mammalia; Primates; Hominidae. The record is from RNAcentral.